UUGCCCUUAAUGAUUUUAAAU
This 21-nucleotide non-coding RNA is filed under the name Arabidopsis thaliana (thale cress). The record is from RNAcentral. Lineage: Eukaryota; Viridiplantae; Streptophyta; Magnoliopsida; Brassicales; Brassicaceae.